UUGUUAUACAGGCAGAGAUGCGCUGUAUAUCAGGGGUGCCGAAUUAACGUUUAAGCGUCAUGCAAUGGCGUCGGUCCCUGAGAAAUGGGCCGCCCUAAUCGGCGGCCCAUUUGCGCUCAG
Bifidobacterium subtile is the source of this 120-nucleotide small RNA. It matches the Rfam family "DUF3800-I RNA". Rfam says of the family: Actinobacteria, Firmicutes, Fusobacteria, Proteobacteria (1 example), Tenericutes (2 examples). NCBI's taxonomy places the organism in Bacteria, Bacillati, Actinomycetota, Actinomycetes, Bifidobacteriales, Bifidobacteriaceae. The record is from Rfam.